This 2916-nucleotide ribosomal RNA is filed under the name Triticum aestivum (bread wheat). Its description in RNAcentral is "partial small subunit ribosomal RNA". The record is from RNAcentral. Lineage: Eukaryota; Viridiplantae; Streptophyta; Magnoliopsida; Poales; Poaceae.
AUGACGCCUGUGGUCAGCGCUGCACUCGGCGCCUUGGGUCCCCUGCUGGUGAAGCUCAGUGGUCUGCUCGCCGGCGAGUAUGGCCGCCUCAAAGGGGUCCGCCGUGAGAUUCGCUCCCUUGAAUCUGAGCUCACCACCAUGCAUGCUGCCCUCGAAGAGUACACUAAGCUGGAAGAUCCAAGUGGGCAAGUGAAGGCAUGGAUAUCUCUGGUGCGGGAGCUGGCAUAUGACACCGAGGACAUCUUCGACAAGUUCAUCCAUCACCUUGGUAAGCGUGGUCAUCGUGGUGGUUUCAAGGAGUUCUUGCGCAAGAUAACUCUCCCUCUGAAGACGCUUGGAGCUCGGUGUGAAAUUGCCGACCAAAUCGAUGACCUGAAGGAUCGCAUCAAGCAAGUGAAAGAUCUCAAGGACAGUUACAAGUUGAAUGAUGUUCCUUCUAGCACCACUGGCCAUCUGGCCCUGGAUCCCCGGCUGCAUGCUGUCUUUGCUGAGGAGGCACACCUUGUGGGCGUGGAUGGUCCAAGGGAUGAUCUUGCCAAGUGGAUGGUGGAAGAAGGAAGCAACUCAUCCAAACCUCGCAAGGUGUUGUCUAUUGUUGGUUUUGGUGGAUUGGGAAAAACAACACUGGCAAAUGAGAUCUAUCGCAAGAUUCAAGGGCAAUUUGAUUGUAAGGCUUUCGUAUCGGUCUCGCAAAAACCAGAUAUAAAGAAAAUUAUGAAGGAUGUGAUCUCUCAAGUGUCAUGCCAAGGUGGAUCCACAAAUGAUACUAGUGAUUGGGAUGAAAUUAAGUCCAUUUCAAAGCUAAGAGAACUACUGCAAAAUAAAAGGUAUCUCAUCAUCAUUGAUGAUAUAUGGUCUGCACAAGCAUGGAAAACUAUCAAGUGUGCUUUCCCAGAGAACAGUUGCUCUAGCAGAAUUAUAGUUACUACACGCAUCAUUGAUGUAGCCAAGUCAUGUUGUUUGGGAGGUGAUGACCAGAUGUAUGAACUAAAAUCCCUAAGUGAUCUCCACUCUAGAAUAUUGUUUUUCACAAGAAUAUUUGGGUCCGGGAAAAAUUGCCCUGACAUGUUGGAAGAAGUUUCAAAUAAUAUUCUAAAGAAAUGUGGAGGCCUACCAUUGGCAAUUAUAAGUAUAGCUGGUUUACUAGCAAACCGACCAGCUAUCAAGGAAGAGUGGGAGAAGGUUAAGAGGUCAAUUGGUUCUGCACUGGAGAAAACUAAGAGUCUAGAGGGCAUGAGCAGCAUACUAUCUCUGAGUUAUAAUGAUCUUGCACCUAAUCUCAAGACGUGCUUGUUGUAUCUAAGUUUAUUUCCCGAGGACCAUGUGAUUGAGAGAACAAGGCUAGUGAGGCUAUGGAUAGCAGAAGGGUUCAUCUCUGAAGAGCGUGGACAGAGCAAGCAAGAGGCUGCUGAGAAUUACUUUUAUGAGCUUAUCAACAAAAGUAUGGUCCAACCAGUGGACAUUGGCUUUGAUGGUAAGGUUCGAGCAUGUCGAGUCCAUGACAUGAUGCUUGAACUUAUUAUUUCAAAAUCAGUUGAAGGUAAUUUUACCACUGUGGUAGGUGGAGGUCAAAAUUUGGAAAAUCAGCAAGGUUAUAUUCGGCGGCUAUCGAUCCAGUACAUUGACAAGGAACUUGCAUCUGCACUGGUAAAUGUGGAUAUAAGCCAUGUUCGAACAUUGAUAGUAAUGCCAUCAUGUUGCAUCAAACAUUUGCCCGCUCUUGAUCAGUUUGAAGCUUUACGUGUUCUGGAUUUUGAAGGUUGUAAGGAUUUAAAGGACUCUGAUAUGAACGGUAUGGACAAAUUAUUCCAACUGAAGUACCUCAACUUUAGAGGCACAGAUAUAUCAAAGCUACCAUCAGGGAUAGUGAUGCUAGGUAAUCUAGAGACCCUAGUUUCUGGGUAUACAGGUGUGCAUGAGUUGCCUGCUGGAUUUGGCCGGCUAACUAAACUUCAACACCUAGAAGGACGGGGAUGGAUACUACCAGAUGGGAUUGGGGAUAUGAAGAACUUACAGUUGAUGUCAGGCUUCGUUAUUGCCUCCAGUAAAACGGAUGUGUUGGAGGAUCUCGGGAACCUAACAAGUUUGAAGGAGCUCAAGGUUGAUCUCAGGCCUGCGAACAGAAUAUUCGAUAAAGUAUCUUGCGAGGACAAGAGAUGUGAAGAGGCGUUCCUCUCCUCACUGUGCAAGCUUGGCACCUGCAAACUCCGAUCUUUGGAUAUAUCACUGAGCUGUGCUUCCCUCGACUUCUUAGAUUCUUGGUCCCCUCUGCCAUCUUCUCUUCAAAGGUUUUCCACGGAUUACAAGUAUUCGUUCACCAAGUUUCCAAAGUGGAUUACACCAGCACUCACUAACCUUGCCGACCUGUGCAUCUGCCUAACUGAAAUGACAGAAGAUGAUUUGGUUACUCUUGGGCAGGUCCCAUCCUUACUUCGCCUGUUCCUAUGGCCAUCAAAUAAGUUGGUUGCCACAGUACAACGCAAUUCUUUCCUGAAUCUGAAGGUUUUGGACUUCGGAUUUAAAACUGAACGAGCAUAUGUUACGUUUGUGAAAGGGUCUGCGCCCAAGCUUGAGGAACUUACCAUCACAUUCAGUGUGUCGGCAGCGAAAGCUAAUGGCUUCUAUUCAGGCAUUGAGCAUCUCUCAUCUCUCAAAGAAGCUAAGAUAUAUCUUGAUGAUGAAGAUGCGACACCUUCAGAAUGCAAGGCUGCAGCUGCUGAGAUCAGGAAGGAAGCGGGUGCCAAUCCCAACCAUCUUGCACUUACUUUUGAGGGGGAAUCAGAUUCAGAAGGAGAGGACAAUGAAGAGACCAGUGGUAGUGAUGAGGAGGGAGGCAGUGACACUGAUGAGGACAAUGAAGAGACCAGUGGUAGUGACGAGAAGAGCAAGGGAGAAGGUGACACUGAUGAGUCCUAA